Molecule: unclassified non-coding RNA, 343 nt
Filed under: soil metagenome
Description: partial contains 5.8S ribosomal RNA, internal transcribed spacer 2, and large subunit ribosomal RNA
Rfam family: 5.8S ribosomal RNA (bases 1-120)
Source: RNAcentral
GAUGAAGAACGUAGCGAAAUGCGAUAAGUAAUGUGAAUUGCAGAAUUCAGUGAAUCAUCGAAUCUUUGAACGCACAUUGCGCCCGCCAGUAUUCUGGCGGGCAUGCCUGUCCGAGCGUCAUUUCAACCCUCAAGCCCCCGGGCUUGGUGUUGGAGAUCGGCGAGCCCCCCGGGGCGCGCCGUCUCCCAAAUAUAGUGGCGGUCCCGCUGUAGCUUCCUCUGCGUAGUAGCACACCUCGCACUGGGAAACAGCGUGGCCACGCCGUAAAACCCCCCACUUCUGAAAGGUUGACCUCGGAUCAGGUAGGAAUACCCGCUGAACUUAAGCAUAUCAAAGCGGAGGA